GAGACGACGCUGGCGGCGUGCCUAACACAUGCAAGUCGAACGGAGCUAUUGACUUCGGUUGAUAGCUUAGUGGCGAACGGGUGAGUAACGCGUGAGCAACCUGUCCUUCAGAGGGGGAUAACAACGAGAAAUCGUUGCUAAUACCGCAUAAGACCACACUGUCGCAUGGCAGAGGGGUAAAAGGAGCAAUCCGCUGAUUGAGGGGCUCGCGUCCCAUUAGAUAGUAGGUGAGGUAACGGCUCACCUAGUCUGCGAUGGGUAGCCGAGCUGAGAGGCUGAACGGCCACACUGGAACUGAGACACGGUCCAGACUCCUACGGGAGGCAGCAGUGGGGAAUAUUGGGCAAUGGGCGAAAGCCUGACCCAGCAACGCCGCGUGAGGGAAGAAGGUCUUCGGAUUGUAAACCUCUGUUCUUGGUGACGAAAAAGAUGACGGUAGCCAAGGAGAAAGCCCCGGCUAACUACGUG
This 468-nucleotide ribosomal RNA is filed under the name uncultured bacterium. Its description in RNAcentral is "bacterial SSU rRNA". It matches the Rfam family "Bacterial small subunit ribosomal RNA", at positions 33 to 507 of the family's 1533-position model. The record is from RNAcentral.